GAUGAACGCUGGCGGCGUGCCUAAUACAUGCAAGUCGAGCGAACAGACGAGGAGCUUGCUCCUCUGACGUUAGCGGCGGACGGGUGAGUAACACGUGGAUAACCUACCUAUAAGACUGGGAUAACUUCGGGAAACCGGAGCUAAUACCGGAUAAUAUAUUGAACCGCAUGGUUCAAUAGUGAAAGACGGUUUUGCUGUCACUUAUAGAUGGAUCCGCGCCGCAUUAGCUAGUUGGUAAGGUAACGGCUUACCAAGGCGACGAUGCGUAGCCGACCUGAGAGGGUGAUCGGCCACACUGGAACUGAGACACGGUCCCGACUCCUACGGGAGGCAGCAGUAGGGAAUCUUCCGCAAUGGGCGAAAGCCUGACGGAGCAACGCCGCGUGAGUGAUGAAGGUCUUCGGAUCGUAAAACUCUGUUAUUAGGGAAGAACAAAUGUGUAAGUAACUAUGCACGUCUUGACGGUAACUAAUCAGAAAGCCACGGCUAACUACGUG
Molecule: ribosomal RNA, 497 nt
Filed under: uncultured bacterium
Lineage: Bacteria
Description: partial 16S ribosomal RNA
Rfam family: Bacterial small subunit ribosomal RNA
Source: RNAcentral